Molecule: ribosomal RNA, 465 nt
Filed under: uncultured bacterium
Lineage: Bacteria
Description: partial 16S ribosomal RNA
Rfam family: Bacterial small subunit ribosomal RNA
Source: RNAcentral
CCUACGGGAGGCAGCAGUAGGGAAUCUUCCACAAUGGGCGAAAGCCUGAUGGAGCAACGCCGCGUGGGUGAAGAAGGUCUUCGGAUCGUAAAACCCUGUUGUUAGAGAAGAAAGUGCGUGAGAGUAACUGUUCACGUUUCGACGGUAUCUAACCAGAAAGCCACGGCUAACUACGUGCCAGCAGCCGCGGUAAUACGUAGGUGGCAAGCGUUAUCCGGAUUUAUUGGGCGUAAAGGGAACGCAGGCGGUCUUUUAAGUCUGAUGUGAAAGCCUUCGGCUUAACCGGAGUAGUGCAUUGGAUACUGGGAGACGUGAGUGCAGAAGAGGAGAGUGGAACUCGAGGUGUAGCGGUGAAAUGCGUAGAUAUAUGGAAGAACACCAGUGGCGAAAGCGGCUCUCUGGUCUGUAACUGACGCUGAGGUUCGAAAGCGUGGGUAGCAAACAGGAUUAGAUACCCUUGUAGUC